RNAcentral lists this ribosomal RNA (497 nucleotides) under uncultured bacterium. RNAcentral's name for it is "partial 16S ribosomal RNA". It matches the Rfam family "Bacterial small subunit ribosomal RNA", at positions 28 to 507 of the family's 1533-position model. The record is from RNAcentral.
GAUGAACGCUGGCGGCGUGCCUAACACAUGCGAGUCGAGCGAACAGACGAGGAGCUUGCUCCUCUGACGUUAGCGGCGGACGGGUGAGUAACACGUGGAUAACCUACCUAUAAGACUGGGAUAACUUCGGGAAACCGGAUCUAAUACCGGAUAAUCUAUUGAACCGCAUGGUUCAAUAGUGAAAGACGGUUUUGCUGUCACUUAUAGCUGGAUCCGCGCCGCAUUAGCUAGUUGGUAAGGUAACGGCUUACCAAGGCAACGAUGCGUAGCCGACCUGAGAGGGUGAUCGGCCACACUGGAACUGAGACACGGUCCAGACUCCUACGGGAGGCAGCAGUAGGGAAUCUUCCGCAAUGGGCGAAAGCCUGACGGAGCAACGCCGCGUGAGUGAUGAAGGUCUUCGGAUCGUAAAACUCUGUUAUUAGGGAAGAACAAAUGUGUAAGUAACUAUGCACGUCUUGACGGUACCGGAUGAGAAAGCCACGGCUAACUACGUG